This 253-nucleotide ribosomal RNA is filed under the name uncultured bacterium. RNAcentral's name for it is "partial 16S ribosomal RNA". It matches the Rfam family "Bacterial small subunit ribosomal RNA", at positions 524 to 776 of the family's 1533-position model. The record is from RNAcentral.
UACGAAGGGGGCUAGCGUUGCUCGGAAUCACUGGGCGUAAAGCGCGCGUAGGCGGUCUCGUAAGUCAGACGUGAAAUCCCGGGGCUCAACCUCGGAAGUGCGUCUGAUACUGCGAGACUGGAGUACUGGAGAGGAGAGCGGAAUUCCCGGUGUAGAGGUGAAAUUCGUAGAUAUCGGGAGGAACACCAGUGGCGAAGGCGGCUCUCUGGACAGAUACUGACGCUGAGGCGCGAAAGCGUGGGAAGCAAACAGG